UCGAGUUAAUUUAAUUCAUUCUGUUUUUCUCUCCUUUUUUUUUUUCUUUUUUCCAAAAUACCGUUAUCACCGCCAAAACUUUGUUAGUUUGUCAGUUAAAUAUAUUCCUUCUCUACAAAACGAACAUACCCAUAAAGUCAGUUUUCUCUUUAUUCUCUCCCACUUCCUCUCUUUUCCGCAUUUUUAGUAAGGCAUUGCUGUGAUAAUGGACGACGAACAGAAACAAAAUCUACAUAAGAAGGGAAUGCAUAAUACUGAAGCUAAUGUUGAUCAGCCAAAUAUUGUUAUGUAUGAUCCUCGUGAGGGAUUUCUGCCUGUGUGGUGGCAUAAUGUCUAUCGAACUGGCAGCACUAGGCAUCCAGAAGAAUCCUC
Molecule: non-coding RNA, 372 nt
Organism: Nicotiana tabacum (common tobacco)
Lineage: Eukaryota; Viridiplantae; Streptophyta; Magnoliopsida; Solanales; Solanaceae
Source: RefSeq, a predicted model, not a curated record